Pezoporus occidentalis (night parrot) is the source of this 2117-nucleotide long non-coding RNA. RefSeq lists it as uncharacterized. Lineage: Eukaryota; Metazoa; Chordata; Aves; Psittaciformes; Psittacidae. The transcript is spliced from 5 exons. The record is from RefSeq and is a predicted model, not a curated record.
GUGAUACCUGAAAAAGAAGAACAAGCACGUUUUCAUAGUCAGUACGUCUCUUGAAGGGCUCUCAGAAAUUGCCAUUUGGACAUGUAAGCCUGGCUCCCAUUAACUUCAACCUCAAAGCAUAAAGAAGCAGAAAUUUUGUCUACAAACAUUGUUACAGGGACUUCUGUAAAGAGCAGAAGCUCAUCUCUCUUGUGUUGUAACGAUUAGUGCUUGGACUGGAUUCAUUGUUCUUUCACGAUGAAGUAAUAUGGUUUGUUUUUUACCAGAGAGCACUGAACUUUGCUAUCCCUCAAGAUAGCAGUUGAGAAAGAGACACAUCUGAGACUUGUGCUGUAAAGAUACGAACCUUUAAAUGGCAGAUACUGAAAAGGGAUAUUCUGAAAACCACAGAGUAACUUGACAAAUGCAAUGGUGUCAACAGCUCAAUUUGGCAACAGUGAAAAUACCUGGAUCGGGGACUGCAAGACGUAGCUGGCUGCUAACAGCGUGCACAAAGCCAUCAGGAGCUUGCACACUGUGUUCCCCAGCAUGUGCCAUGGGCUACCAGCCAAGGACCCCUGAGAGGAGCAUCACCCAACAUGACAUGAGCCUGAUUUUACUCUUUAUUCUUCUGUGACUCUGGCGACUGGGGACAACUGGGCACCAGUGGCUGAAUUUGCUGCAAGUUACCCAAACUUACAUAGAGCUCCUGAAACUUGGCACAUGUUAGUGUGAAAAACAGUUGAUUUGGUAAUAACUAACCAUAGGAGGCAUCCAGCUGUCUACCAGAAAUGAAGACUGAGACGGGAAAAAUGUCCCUGGUACAUGCAGCUGGGCAAAAGCAGUUCACAGUGAAGAACAGGCACGGGGGGUUUAGAACUUUGUUUUGGUUUGAAAAAUUGUUUCCAUUUUGUUAAUGGAUUUGUUUCUUUUCUGCAGUUCUUCCAUUACUUCUUAGUAUAAAUAUGUUUUGCUUGAUAAAUUUCUCAAACUACUCUGUGUAUCAUGUGCUUUGAAUAAUGAUUAAUCACAGCACAUCCCCUAAAAUGCAAGGUAUGGCUUGUUCCAUGUGUCUGAACAAUCAUGUUUUAAAGCAGGAGGAAAUUGCUGUGAGGGUCAGGAGCUUUUGGGAGCACAGAUGUGUGCCCAGAUAAGUCAAUCUAUAAAACCUUAGGAUGUUUGAAACAUGCUCCUCUUUCCCACCCCUCCCCUAACCCAAAGAGCAGCCUGAUUUUUAAGCUACACAUUUGUGUAGCUUUUCAGCAUUAAAGAUACCCAGUUUCUUCCUGCCUGAUGGAGGGAGCAAAUCCAAAAUCCUUGGAACCAGGCUGUGCUGGUUUCUCUUAAAUCCACCGAGCCCUGUAUCUGGGGUUUCUAGAUCUUAUAACCAGUUUUCAGAGCAGGGGAGGAUAGAUCACCCUUCCCUGCCCUGAGCUGUGAUCACCUGGCAGCUUUUUCCACAGCUGGCUUUAACUGAGCUUAGAUUGCCUGCCUCACACCCACAUUCCCCUGCUGUGUGGUUCCACCCUGCCCGCUCUCCCUGUAGCCAAUGGUUUGGAGAAGAAAUGAAUUUCCUACUUAACAUUCGCAUGAAUUAGGAGUUUUCUCAUUUCUCUUACGUGAGCUGGUGUUUUGAGCCGACAUCAUCAGGCCAGACAACGAUGCAUUUUAUCGUUCCAUUGUCCAUCAUGAUCUCAGCGUAGAAGCACUGUGGGAAGGCAAGCCCAAAUGCCACCAGCCAGAUUAUCCCUAUGAUGACUCUGGUGCUUCCUGCAGAGAGCCUGGGCUUGAAGGGAUGAAUUAUUGCCACGUACCUGCAAGAAAAACAGGGCCUAAAUAUCUUCUGAAGAGAGCAGCUGCAAGUCUUGGGGAAUGGUUUAAGGUAUGAGGAGGAAGCAGCCAUCUAUGCCUUCUGGAUAUGGUCUUCGUCACUGGGAGGGAGCUCUGCCUGGCUGCUGGUGCAGGAUAGAGGGCGGCUGCAUGGACAGGCGGCACACCACGGCUGUCAUGGAAUAAAUGCUCACAAACAUUGCGGUGAUGGGAAACCAGUUCUGAAACCUGCAGAAUUCCUCACCAAAAUACCAGACGUUGUGACUGGCAUAAAUAAAGUUGAAGAUGGUAUUGAAAGUGGACAUCAG